CUCAUCAUGAAAUUUAAGUUGAAUUGGAUUUUCUUUCUGGCCAUUUUCCAAGGUGUCCGAUGUGAUGUUCAGUUGAUGGAGUCUGGGGGAGAUGUGAGACAACCUGGGGGUACCCUGCGUCUCUCUUGUAAAGCCUCUGGAUUUACCUUUAGCAGCUAUUGGAUGGAUUGGGUCCGCCAGGCUCCAGGAAAGGGACUAGAAUGGAUUGCAAGAAUUAGUACUGGUGGAAGUAGCACAUACUAUUCAGACUCUGUCAAAGGCCGAUUCACCAUCUCCAGAGAAGACAGCAGCAACAUGUUAUAUUUACAGAUGAAUUCCCUUAAAACAGAGGAUACAGCUUUGUACUAUUGUGCAAGAGACACAGUGAGGGAAAGAAGUGUGAGACCAGACAGAAACUUCCCCUUCCAGGAACUGAGAAGCCCUUGA
Molecule: non-coding RNA, 426 nt
Organism: Gracilinanus agilis (Agile Gracile Mouse Opossum)
Lineage: Eukaryota; Metazoa; Chordata; Mammalia; Didelphimorphia; Didelphidae
Source: the annotation of a RefSeq genome assembly